UCCACGCCGUAAACGAUGAAUACUCGUUGUCUGCAAUAUACAGUAGGCGACUGAGCGAAAGCAUUAAGUAUUCCACCUGGGGAGUACGUUGGCAACAAUGAAACUCAAAGGAAUUGACGGGGGCCCGCACAAGCGGAGGAACAUGUGGUUUAAUUCGAUGAUACGCGAGGAACCUUACCCGGGUUUAAAUGCAGGACGAAACCGAGAGAUCGGAGCCUCUUCGGACGGACU
This 231-nucleotide ribosomal RNA is filed under the name uncultured bacterium. Its description in RNAcentral is "partial 16S ribosomal RNA". It matches the Rfam family "Bacterial small subunit ribosomal RNA", at positions 794 to 1030 of the family's 1533-position model. The record is from RNAcentral.